This 77-nucleotide transfer RNA is filed under the name Campylobacterota bacterium. RNAcentral's name for it is "Epsilonproteobacteria bacterium (hydrothermal vent metagenome) tRNA-Thr". It matches the Rfam family "tRNA". Rfam says of the family: Transfer RNA (tRNA) molecules are approximately 80 nucleotides in length. RNAcentral also lists the same sequence under 3 other names. Lineage: Bacteria; Pseudomonadati; Campylobacterota. The record is from RNAcentral.
GCUGGUGUAGCUCAGCUGGCUAGAGCAGCUGAUUUGUAAUCAGCAGGUCGGGGGUUCAAGUCCCUUCACCAGCUCCA